This 253-nucleotide ribosomal RNA is filed under the name uncultured bacterium. Its description in RNAcentral is "partial 16S ribosomal RNA". It matches the Rfam family "Bacterial small subunit ribosomal RNA", at positions 524 to 776 of the family's 1533-position model. The record is from RNAcentral.
GACGAAGGAUGCAAGCGUUAUCCGGAUUCAUUGGGCUUAAAGGGCGCGUAGGUGGCCUUAUAAGUCAGUGGUGAAAUCUCGCAGCUUAACUGCGAAAUUGCCAUUGAUACUGUAGGGCUUGAGUAUAGUUGCCGUUGGCGGAAUAUGACAUGUAGUGGUGAAAUACAUAGAGAUGUCAUAGAACACCGAUUGCGAAGGCAGCUAACGAAACUAUAACUGACACUGAGGCUCGAAAGUGCGGGGAUCAAACAGG